UACAGAGGUCUCAAGCGUUGUUCGGAUUCAUUGGGCGUAAAGGGUGCGUAGGUGGCGCGGUAAGUCGGGUGUGAAAUUUCGGAGCUUAACUCCGAAACUGCAUUCGAUACUGCCGUGCUUGAGGACUGGAGAGGAGACUGGAAUUUACGGUGUAGCAGUGAAAUGCGUAGAUAUCGUAAGGAAGACCAGUGGCGAAGGCGAGUCUCUGGACAGUUACCGACGCUGAGGCACGAAGGCCAGGGGAGCAAACGGG
This 253-nucleotide ribosomal RNA is filed under the name uncultured bacterium. RNAcentral describes it as "partial 16S ribosomal RNA". It matches the Rfam family "Bacterial small subunit ribosomal RNA", at positions 524 to 776 of the family's 1533-position model. The record is from RNAcentral.